Pelobates cultripes (western spadefoot toad) is the source of this 231-nucleotide non-coding RNA. The record is from the annotation of a GenBank genome assembly. Lineage: Eukaryota; Metazoa; Chordata; Amphibia; Anura; Pelobatidae.
CGGACAUACACACAUGCAGAUACAUAUACACACAAACACAGUCACACACAGACACACAUGCAGACAUCGUGGCGACUCUAGGAACAAUAUAUAUGGGGGGGCACAUAAGAUACCACAGUCAAAACAGGAGGGGGAGAGGGAGCAGUAAAACUUCUCACUAGGGGAUGGGGUAAUAUGCUGCCAUUGGCUGUCUGAUGCCAGCAUGCUGUGUUCUGCAUGGUGGCAUCUGAC